AGAGUUUGAUCCUGGAUCAGAGCGAACGUUUGCGGCGGGCCUAACACAUGCAAGUCGAACGGGCUAGCAAUAGUCAGUGGCGCACGGGUGCGUAACACGUGGGUAAUCAACCCUUCAGCUCGGGAUAACGCCUUGAAAGGGGCGCUAAUACCGGAUACGACGCGAGGAGCUUCGGCUGCUUGCGGGAAAGAUUCGCAAGGAUCUCUGAAGGACGAGCCUGCGGCCCAUCAGCUAGUUGGUGAGGUAAGAGCUCACCAAGGCGAAGACGGGUAGCUGGUCUGAGAGGAUGAUCAGCCACACUGGAACUGAGACACGGUCCAGACUCCUACGGGAGGCAGCAGUGGGGAAUAUUGCGCAAUGGGCGAAAGCCUGACGCAGCCACGCCGCGUGAGCGAUGAAGGCCUUCGGGUCGUAAAGCUCUGUGGGGAGAGAAGGAUAAAGCCUGUGAAGAAUGGGCCUUGACGGUAUCUCCUUAGCAAGCACCGGCUAACUCCGUGCCAGCAGCCGCGGUAAUACGGAGGGUGCAAACGUUGCUCGGAAUCAUUGGGCGUAAAGCGCACGUAGGCGGCGAAGCAAGUCGGGUGUGAAAGCCCCUGGGCUCAACCCAGGAAGUGCAUUCGAAACUAUUUCGCUUGAAUCUCGGAGGGGGUCAGAGAAUUCCCGGUGUAGAGGUGAAAUUCGUAGAUAUCGGGAGGAAUACCAGUGGCGAAGGCGCUGACCUGGACGAAGAUUGACGCUGAGGUGCGAAAGCGCGGGGAGCAAACAGGAUUAGAUACCCUGGUAGUCCGCGCUGUAAACGAUGAGUGCUAGACCGGUGGAGAUUUGACCCCUUCGCUGCCGAAGCUAACGCGUUAAGCACUCCGCCUGGGGAGUACGGUCGCAAGACUAAAACUCAAAGGAAUUGACGG
This 908-nucleotide ribosomal RNA is filed under the name uncultured bacterium. RNAcentral's name for it is "bacterial SSU rRNA". It matches the Rfam family "Bacterial small subunit ribosomal RNA", at positions 8 to 916 of the family's 1533-position model. The record is from RNAcentral.